UGCAAGUCGAACGGUAACAGGUUUGUAGCAAUACAAAUGCUGACGAGUGGCAGACGGGUGAGGAACACGUACACAACUUCCCUUUAUCUGGUGAAUAGCCCCUCGAAAGAGGGAUUAAUACACCAUAACAUCUUGAAGAGUCAUCUCUUUACGAUUAAAGCUCAGGCGGAUAGAGAUGGGUGUGCGUCUGAUUAGCUAGUUGGUUGAGGUAACGGCUCACCAAGGCGACGAUCAGUAACUGGUGUGAGAGCACGACCAGUCACACGGGCACUGAGAUACGGGCCAGACUCCUACGGGAGGCAGCAGUAGGGAAUAUUGGACAAUGGGUGAGAGCCUGAUCCAGCCAUGCCGCGUGCAGGAAGAAGGCGUUAUGCGUUGUAAACUGCUUUUGCGGGGGAAGAAACCUGAUUUUUCUAAAUCAGCCGACGGUACCCCGAGAAUAAGCACCGGCUAACUCCGUGCCAGCAGCCGCGGUAAUACGGAGGGUGCAAGCGUUAUCCGGAUUUACUGGGUUUAAAGGGUGUGUAGGCGGACUUUUAAGUCAGCGGUGAAAUCUCCGGGCUCAACCCGGAAACUGCCAUUGAUACUAUUUGUCUUGAAUGUUGUUGAGGUGGGCGGAACGGGUCAUGUAGCGGUGAAAUGCAUAGAUAUGACCCGGAACACCGAUUGCGAAGGCAGCCCACUAAGCAACGAUUGACGCUGAGGCACGAAAGCGUGGGGAUCAAACAGGAUUAGAUACCCUGGUAGUCCACGCCCUAAACGAUGAUUACUCGACGUUGGCGAUACACUGAUCAGCGUCCAAGCGAAAGCAUUAAGUAAUCCACCUGGGAAGUACGUUCGCAAGAAUGAAACUCAAAGGAA
This 861-nucleotide ribosomal RNA is filed under the name uncultured Sphingobacteriales bacterium. RNAcentral's name for it is "bacterial SSU rRNA". It matches the Rfam family "Bacterial small subunit ribosomal RNA", at positions 56 to 909 of the family's 1533-position model. The record is from RNAcentral. Lineage: Bacteria; Pseudomonadati; Bacteroidota; Sphingobacteriia; Sphingobacteriales.